UCAUGAUCUUUUUAUUACCUUACACACCAC
RNAcentral lists this non-coding RNA (30 nucleotides) under Rattus norvegicus (Norway rat). Lineage: Eukaryota; Metazoa; Chordata; Mammalia; Rodentia; Muridae. The record is from RNAcentral.